UACAGGGGGGGCAAGCGUUGUUCGGAAUUACUGGGCGUAAAGGGCGAGUAGGCGGCCAACUAAGUCCGACGUGAAAUCCCCAGGCUUAACCUGGGAACUGCGUCGGAUACUGGAUGGCUUGAAUUCGGGAGAGGGAUGCGGAAUUCCAGGUGUAGCGGUGAAAUGCGUAGAUAUCUGGAGGAAGACCAGUGGCGAAGGCGGGUCUCUGGACAGUUCCUGACACUGAGGCACGAAGGCCAGGGGAGCAAACGGG
RNAcentral lists this ribosomal RNA (253 nucleotides) under uncultured bacterium. RNAcentral describes it as "partial 16S ribosomal RNA". It matches the Rfam family "Bacterial small subunit ribosomal RNA", at positions 524 to 776 of the family's 1533-position model. The record is from RNAcentral.